GAAAUGCGAUACGUAGUGUGAAUUGCAGAAUUCAGUGAAUCAUCGAGACCUUGAACGCACCUUGCGCCUGGGAGCCCUCUCCCAGGCAUGACUGUUGGAGUGGCGCUUCACCAUCCUUCCCACACACCCUUCUCCUGUUUUUGCAACAGGAAAGAAGAAGGGCGGGAGGGGCGAAUGGGCGUCGGAGAGCCUCUGUGUUGUCCGUCGCCUGAAAGAGAGCGCGCUCUGGGGAAGAACAGGUUGCUUCCGAGCGAGUGUGGUAGCAGCGCCCUUCGCGGCCUGACGAUCACUCUGCCGGAGGUGUGUGCCUCCUUGCCCAGCCAGCUGCGAUCAUCGGAAGCCAAACGUUCCUCGCGGAACAAACACCACCCCGCCCUCCAAUCAGUCAAGGCUACCCGCUGAACUUAA
Molecule: unclassified non-coding RNA, 408 nt
Filed under: uncultured Lactarius
Lineage: Eukaryota; Fungi; Basidiomycota; Agaricomycetes; Russulales; Russulaceae
Description: sequence contains ITS1
Rfam family: 5.8S ribosomal RNA (bases 1-105)
Source: RNAcentral